Molecule: ribosomal RNA, 244 nt
Filed under: uncultured bacterium
Lineage: Bacteria
Description: partial 16S ribosomal RNA
Rfam family: Bacterial small subunit ribosomal RNA
Source: RNAcentral
GUACCUACGGGACGCAGCAGUGGGGAAUAUUGCACAAUGGGGGAAACCCUGAUGCAGCGACGCCGCGUGAGUGAAGAAGUCAUUCGUGAUGUAAAGCUCUAUCAGCAGGGAAGAAAAUGACGGUACCUGACCAAGAAGCCCCGGCUAACUACGUGCCAGCAGCCGCGGUAAUACGUAGGGGGCAAGCGUUAUCCGGAUUUACUGGGUGUAAAGGGAGCGUAGACGGUUGCGCAAGUCUGGAGUG